GGGGGCGACCUGGUUUCGACGUGGUCGGUUCUCCGGCAGAGCUGCAAGCCGAGGUCGCCGGUUGGCCUCGUAAAUCCACCGGCAAACAAGCAAGUGCGAAGAACGAUCUCGCACUCGCCGCCUAACCUAGUUAGGUAGCGACGUCGCUCCGGAUUCGGCCCGUGGUUCGGGUAGCGGCGCCAACCAACGGGCUCGGCGCGGAGGGAGAGCCAAUCGCCCAAAGCGCGACAAUCAAGGAUGGCUAGGCCGUCGGUAGGGCGUCCGCCCCCGGCCGGCGGUCGAAGCUAAAGCGCGGACUACGCUUGUAGACGUUCUGACCGGUGCGUCCGCGGACGCGGGUUCGAUUCCCGCCGCCUCCAUCA
Molecule: transfer-messenger RNA, 362 nt
Filed under: Gaiellaceae
Lineage: Bacteria; Bacillati; Actinomycetota; Thermoleophilia; Gaiellales
Also listed under: 2 other names
Description: 3-1-20CM-4-69-9 sp005885245 Standard tmRNA
Rfam family: transfer-messenger RNA
About the family: Bacterial tmRNA, also known as 10Sa RNA or SsrA, is named for its dual tRNA and mRNA-like properties. Its role is to liberate the mRNA from a stalled ribosome. To accomplish this part of the tmRNA is used as a reading frame that ends in a translation stop signal.
Source: RNAcentral